This 405-nucleotide ribosomal RNA is filed under the name uncultured crenarchaeote. RNAcentral describes it as "bacterial SSU rRNA". It matches the Rfam family "Archaeal small subunit ribosomal RNA", at positions 446 to 851 of the family's 1478-position model. Lineage: Archaea; Thermoproteati; Thermoproteota. The record is from RNAcentral.
ACACGACUAUAGCCAGCCGCCGCGGUAAUACCAGCACCCCGAGUGGUCGGGACGAUUAUUGGGCCUAAAGCAUCCGUAGCCGGUUCUGCAAGUCUUCCGUUAAAUCCACCUGCUCAACAGAUGGGCUGCGGAGGAUACUACAGGGCUAGGAGGCGGGAGAGGCAAGCGGUACUCAGUGGGUAGGGGUAAAAUCCUCUGAUCCACUGAAGACCACCAGUGGCGAAGGCGGCUUGCCAGAACGCGCUCGACGGUGAGGGAUGAAAGCUGGGGGAGCAAACCGGAUUAGAUACCCGGGUAGUCCCAGCUGUAAACGAUGCAGACUCGGUGAUGGGUUGGCUUCGAGCCAACCCAGUGCCGCAGGGAAGCCGUUAAGUCUGCCGCCUGGGGAGUACGGUCGCAAGACUG